GAUGAACGCUGGCGGCGUGCCUUACACAUGCAAGUCGAACGCGAAAGUAGGGGCAACCCUGCGAGUAGAGUGGCGAACGGGUGAGUAAUGCAUCGGAACAUUUCCAGUAGCGGGGGAUAACCUCGAGAAAUCGAGGCUAAUACCGCAUACGUCCUACGGGAGAAAGCGGGGGACCGCAAGGCCUCGCACUAUUGGAGUGGCCGAUGCCGGAUUAGCUAGUCGGCGGGGUAAAAGCCCACCAAGGCGACGAUCCGUAGCUGGUCUGAGAGGAUGAUCAGCCACACUGGGACUGACACGGCCCAGACUCCUACGGGAGGCAGCAGUGGGGAAUUUUGGACAAUGGGCGCAAGCCUGAUCCAGCCAUGCCGCGUGAGUGAAGAAGGCCUUCGGGUUGUAAAGCUCUUUCGGCCGGGACGAGAUCGCACCCUUUAAUACGGGGUGUGGAUGACGGUACCGGAAGAAGAAGGACCGGCUAACUACGUGCCAGCCGCCGCGGUAA
This 499-nucleotide ribosomal RNA is filed under the name uncultured bacterium. Its description in RNAcentral is "partial 16S ribosomal RNA". It matches the Rfam family "Bacterial small subunit ribosomal RNA", at positions 28 to 523 of the family's 1533-position model. The record is from RNAcentral.